This 103-nucleotide ribosomal RNA is filed under the name Clostridia bacterium. Lineage: Bacteria; Bacillati; Bacillota; Clostridia. The record is from RNAcentral.
GGUGUUUAUUGCGUCGAGGUCCCACCUGUUCCCAUUCCGAACACAGAAGUUAAGCUCGAUUGCGUCGAAAAUACUUGGUUGGCAACGACCUGGGAAAAUAGAU